This 389-nucleotide ribosomal RNA is filed under the name Tripos sp. RNAcentral's name for it is "partial small subunit ribosomal RNA". It matches the Rfam family "Eukaryotic small subunit ribosomal RNA", at positions 582 to 975 of the family's 1831-position model. The record is from RNAcentral. Lineage: Eukaryota; Dinophyceae; Gonyaulacales; Ceratiaceae.
AUUCCAGCUCCAAUAGCGUAUAUUAAAGUUGUUGCGGUUAAAAAGCUCGUAGUUGGAUUUCUGCUGAAGCAAACCGGUCCGCCCUCUGGGUGAGCAUCUGGCUUUAUUUUGGCAUAUGCUUAGACUUUGCAGCUGCACUUGACUGUGUGGUGUGAAGGCUAAGCCAUUUACUUUGAGGAAAUCAGAGUGUUUCAAGCAGGCAAUUGCCUUGAAUACACUAGCAUGGAAUAAUAUGAUAUGACUGUGGUUUUAUUUUGUUGGCUUCUAGAAUUAGAGUAAUGGUUAAUAGGGAUAGUUGGGGGCAUUCAUAUUUAACUGUCAGAGGUGAAAUUCUUGGAUUUGUUAAGGAUGAACGACUGCGAAAGCAUUUGCCAAGGAUGCUUUCAUCG